CUCCGCCUCCUCGUCUGCUCUCGCCAUCGCCCGCAGAGCUCCACCCAAUCCCUCGCUCGCUCGGUGAGAUCCAAGGCGGCCGCGUCGGCUGGGAGCGGACCCACGCGGGAGGAGGAGUUCGGCGAGCAUGAGCUGGAGGUGGCAGCCAUUCUCGCGGACCUGUCGUCCAUCGUGCGGGCCAGCAGCAGGAGCAGGCGCGGCCGGAGAUCCCCUCGUGGAGCCGGCGCCGGCCGAGGAAGGCCCUAGCGGCUCCGCCGGCCAAGAAGCCCGCGGCCGAUAGCCCGGACACCCCGCUCGCCUUCCUUGACGACGACGAGGCGGCGGCAGCGCAGGACAAGUCGGCGCAGGAGCAGCGCGGCGAUUUUGACGAGUAGGAGAUGGAGCGCGUCACAAGCACCUUGGCUGCACCCUGAGGUUAUCCAUCAGGCAAACUGUCAUCGCACUGUCGUUCACGAUGCUGCUCCCAAGCCUCCCGACGAGAUUGUGCGAGUUGCAACUUACAUGACGCAGAUUCUUUUGCUAUACUUCGGAAGCCGGCAAUAGCAGCGGCAACGUCGACGCAGCCACGGGCUGGACAAAACUUGAUUAGCUUAUUACUACAUCAAUAAUUUGUGCCUGUAGGACUCUUUCACAAAUCAUGUCAACGAGACUAGCAAUUUGAAGAGGCUGCUGCACAUGAUAUGAAGAUAUUGGCAUAUACAGUCCCAAACAUAAGUUUCAAAAUAGCAGGUGUGGAGUUUAGCCCUGUUCCGCUGUAUGGAAAGCCAUGACCUCCACACAGAUGAUGCAAGAGGAAACAAGCUAGACUCACAACUUUAGUUUUCAGGCAUCUUCACCAACAAAUAUUACCCUGGCACUGACAGGUUGUUAGUAUUAUAUAAGUAUACUUGUUCAGCCUGUGCUGGUCUGAAUAUCUAAACAAGGAAGCAGGCUCAGUUGCUCACCAACCUACUAUUGCUGCCAACAAGUAGCCAGAAGCCCAUAGAAGACAUUUGCAUUGAUCACAGAAAAAUGAAGUAUUGAAUUUGUAGGACAUUGUCAUCCUAAUCUGGUUCCCACAUAUUCAAGAUGUGGAGAUUAGAUCUUUGCUCCAACAAAGCCAUGACCUUCAAUUUUGUUGUUAAUUUAACAGCUGUUUUGAUUGUGCCGAUCGAUCGGCUUAUAAGAGCCAAUUUGGUUUCUUGUGAACUAGAGCAUCCUAUUUUUCAUGAUUAUAUUAAGAGCUUCCUAUUUUUCAUGAUUAUAUUAAGAACUCA
Molecule: long non-coding RNA, 1256 nt
Organism: Triticum aestivum (bread wheat)
Lineage: Eukaryota; Viridiplantae; Streptophyta; Magnoliopsida; Poales; Poaceae
Exons: 3
Source: RefSeq, a predicted model, not a curated record